This 212-nucleotide long non-coding RNA is filed under the name Homo sapiens (human). RNAcentral's name for it is "HSALNT0246521". Lineage: Eukaryota; Metazoa; Chordata; Mammalia; Primates; Hominidae. The record is from RNAcentral.
CCUGCGGCGGCGGCGGCGGCCAAGCGGCGUUCACCAGGGAGUCGUUUCGGCCCAAUUGACCAGUAUUCCUUACUGAUAAGAGACACUGACCAUGGAGUGGUUCUGGUGAGAUGACAUGACCCUCGUGAAGGGGCCUGAAGCUUCAUUGUGUUUGUGUAUGUUUCUCUCUUCAAAAAUAUUCAUGACUUCUCCUGUAGCUUGAUAAAUAUGUA